Hordeum vulgare subsp. vulgare (domesticated barley) is the source of this 136-nucleotide non-coding RNA. NCBI's taxonomy places the organism in Eukaryota, Viridiplantae, Streptophyta, Magnoliopsida, Poales, Poaceae. The record is from Rfam.
UAAAUACUCCCUCCGUCUCAAAAUUCUUGUCCUACGUUUGUCUAGAAAUAGACGUAUCUAUAUACUAUAGCAUGACUAGAUACAUUUAUAUCUAGAUAAAUCUAAGACAAGAAUUUUGAGAUGGAGGGAGUAAUAU